GACGAACGCUGGCGGCGUGCUUAACACAUGCAAGUCGAACGGAAAGGCCUGCUUUCCCUUGUGGAUUGCGGGUACUCGAGUGGCGAACGGGUGAGUAACACGUGAGUGAUCUGCCCCCAACUUGGGUAUAAGCCUGGGAAACUGGGUCUAAUUCCCGAUAGGACUGCAGGGUGGUGCCUGAGGUGGAAAACGAUUUUCUAGUGGUUGGGGAUGAGCUCGCGGCCUAUCAGCUUGUUGGUGGGGUAAUGGCCUACCAAGGCGGCGACGGGUAGCCGGCCUGAGAGGGUGGACGGCCACAUUGGGACUGAGAUACGGCCCAGACUCCUACGGGAGGCAGCAGUGGGGAAUAUUGCACAAUGGGCGGAAGCCUGAUGCGGCGACGCCGCGUGGGGGAUGACGGCCUUCGGGUUGUAAACUCCUUUCGACCGCGAGGAAGCCACCUGGUUGGAAGGGUGGUGACGGUAGUGGUAGAAGAAGCACCGGCUAACUACGUG
Molecule: ribosomal RNA, 494 nt
Filed under: uncultured bacterium
Lineage: Bacteria
Description: partial 16S ribosomal RNA
Rfam family: Bacterial small subunit ribosomal RNA
Source: RNAcentral